This is a long non-coding RNA of Ctenopharyngodon idella (grass carp), 835 nucleotides long. RefSeq lists it as uncharacterized. NCBI's taxonomy places the organism in Eukaryota, Metazoa, Chordata, Actinopteri, Cypriniformes, Xenocyprididae. The transcript is spliced from 3 exons. The record is from RefSeq and is a predicted model, not a curated record.
UAACUUGGCUUGAUGUUGGAGAUCUGAAAUGAAUCCUAUUUGACAGUCAGGAAAUCAUUUGGCUGCAUCGUUUGUUUGUCUGCUGAGGAAAGCCAUGGAAAAAUUGAUAGAGGCUUUGGUUGUUGAUUCUUUCAGUGACUUUUUCUAAUCAACAGAAUGUUACAUGACCGUACCUCAGACUGUAAGUCCUUGAGACCGAUGUGGUCACAGACGAGUGACAGCUCCUCACGGUUAAGUGAUCCUCCAGCUCCGACCCCAAGCUCCUCCCAUACUGCUCUCACCUGUCCAUCUGUCACUUCCUGCUGAGGGUUGGAUGAGCGCUGAGGACUUCCUGUGCCAUCUAGAUUCCAGAGCUUCAACUGACCUUGGUUACAUCCCUUCUCUUCUCUGAUGACGUGUUUACUGACGCAAGGGUGGGGCAACCUGUCACUCACAUGACAUCACAGCAAACCACACCCAUCCAACCAUCCAAUCAAUUUCCGACGGACAAAAUAAAGUCUUGCCACAUUGUUUCAUGUUCGAAAAGCCGUUUCCCUUGGGAAGAAAAGACUAACGCAACUUCCUUUUCAUGCCGACUUUAACAACUUGUAUACAACUGCAUAGUAUAUACUGUAUACUGCCCACUAUUUUUUUAAAUAGCAUGUAAAUGCAUUUUUUAAAAUAAUUUUUCAAUUAAGGAGGUCUAUAAUGGUUUCAAAUGCCUCACUGCUUUUGUCAUGUGAUCCCAUAACAUUGUAUGUCUAUUUUAGUGUGUGACAAAAUGGCUAUUUUGCAUUUUAAUCAAUUUUCAUGUAAAAUGUUUGACCAAAUAAUGAGCAAUAAAAAGUUUUAACAA